CGGGGUGAGUAACGCGUGGAUAACCUGCCGUAUGCAGGGGGAUACCAACUGGAAACAGUUGCUAAUACCGCAUAAGCGCACAGUACCGCAUGGUAUAGUGUGAAAAGAUUUAUCGGCAUACGAUGGAUCCGCGUCCGAUUAGCCAGUUGGCGGGGUAGAAGCCCACCAAAGCGACGAUCGGUAGCCGGCCUGAGAGGGCGGACGGCCACAUUGGGACUGAGACACGGCCCAAACUCCUACGGGAGGCAGCAG
Molecule: ribosomal RNA, 252 nt
Filed under: uncultured bacterium
Lineage: Bacteria
Description: partial 16S ribosomal RNA
Rfam family: Bacterial small subunit ribosomal RNA
Source: RNAcentral